This 1346-nucleotide ribosomal RNA is filed under the name uncultured bacterium. Its description in RNAcentral is "partial 16S ribosomal RNA". It matches the Rfam family "Bacterial small subunit ribosomal RNA", at positions 28 to 1381 of the family's 1533-position model. The record is from RNAcentral.
GACGAACGCUGGCGGCGUGCUUAACACAUGCAAGUCGAACGGAAAGGCCCUGCUUUUGUGGGGUGCUCGAGCGGCGAACGGGUGAGUAACACGUGAGUAACCUGCCCUUGACUUUGGGAUAACUUCAGGAAACUGGGGCUAAUACCGGAUAGGAGCUCCUGCUGCAUGGUGGGGGUUGGAAAGUUUCGGCGGUUGGGGAUGGACUCGCGGCUUAUCAGCUUGUUGGUGGGGUAGUGGCUUACCAAGGCUUUGACGGGUAGCCGGCCUGAGAGGGUGACCGGCCACAUUGGGACUGAGAUACGGCCCAGACUCCUACGGGAGGCAGCAGUGGGGAAUAUUGCACAAUGGGCGGAAGCCUGAUGCAGCAACGCCGCGUGCGGGAUAACGGCCUUCGGGUUGUAAACCGCUUUCGCCUGUGACGAAGCGUGAGUGACGGUAAUGGGUAAAGAAGCACCGGCUAACUACGUGCCAGCAGCCGCGGUGAUACGUAGGGUGCGAGCGUUGUCCGGAUUUAUUGGGCGUAAAGGGCUCGUAGGUGGUUGAUCGCGUCGGAAGUGUAAUCUUGGGGCUUAACCCUGAGCGUGCUUUCGAUACGGGUUGACUUGAGGAAGGUAGGGGAGAAUGGAAUUCCUGGUGGAGCGGUGGAAUGCGCAGAUAUCAGGAGGAACACCAGUGGCGAAGGCGGUUCUCUGGGCCUUUCCUGACGCUGAGGAGCGAAAGCGUGGGGAGCGAACAGGCUUAGAUACCCUGGUAGUCCACGCUGUAAACGGUGGGUACUAGGUGUGGGGUCCAUUCCACGGGUUCCGUGCCGUAGCUAACGCUUUAAGUACCCCGCCUGGGGAGUACGGCCGCAAGGCUAAAACUCAAAGGAAUUGACGGGGCCCCGCACAAGCGGCGGAGCAUGCGGAUUAAUUCGAUGCAACGCGUAGAACCUUACCUGGGUUUGACAUGGAUCGGGAGUGCUCAGAGAUGGGUGUGCCUCUUUUGGGGUCGGUUCACAGGUGGUGCAUGGCUGUCGUCAGCUCGUGUCGUGAGAUGUUGGGUUAAGUCCCGCAACGAGCGCAACCCUUGUUCACUGUUGCCAGCACGUUAUGGUGGGGACUCAGUGGAGACCGCCGGGGUCAACUCGGAGGAAGGUGGGGAUGACGUCAAGUCAUCAUGCCCCUUAUGUCCAGGGCUUCACGCAUGCUACAAUGGCUGGUACAGAGAGUGGCGAGCCUGUGAGGGUGAGCGAAUCUCGGAAAGCCGGUCUCAGUUCGGAUUGGGGUCUGCAACUCGACCUCAUGAAGUCGGAGUCGCUAGUAAUCGCAGAUCAGCAACGCUGCGGUGAAUACGUUCCCGGGGCU